Molecule: ribosomal RNA, 253 nt
Filed under: uncultured bacterium
Lineage: Bacteria
Description: partial 16S ribosomal RNA
Rfam family: Bacterial small subunit ribosomal RNA
Source: RNAcentral
UACGGAGGGUGCAAACGUUGCUCGGAAUCAUUGGGCGUAAAGCGCACGUAGGCGGCCCAGCAAGUCGGGUGUGAAAGCCCUGGGCCCAAUCCAGGAAGUGCAUUGGAUACUGGUAGACUAGAGUGCAGGAGGGGUGAGCGGAAUUCCAGGUGUAGAGGUGAAAUUCGUAGAUAUCUGGAGGAACAACAGUGGCGAAGGCGGCUCACUGGACUGCAACUGACGCUAAGGCGCGAAAGCGUGGGGAGCAAACAGG